GGCCUGAUGGUCUAGUAGUAUGAUUCCUUGUUAGGGUUAUUCGACCAAUUCGAGGAGGUCCCGGGUUCAAUUCCCGGUCAGGCCC
This is a non-coding RNA of Armillaria mellea, 85 nucleotides long. The record is from the annotation of a GenBank genome assembly. Lineage: Eukaryota; Fungi; Basidiomycota; Agaricomycetes; Agaricales; Physalacriaceae.